RNAcentral lists this ribosomal RNA (307 nucleotides) under uncultured bacterium. RNAcentral describes it as "bacterial SSU rRNA". It matches the Rfam family "Bacterial small subunit ribosomal RNA", at positions 28 to 334 of the family's 1533-position model. The record is from RNAcentral.
GAUGAACGCUAGCGGGAGGCUUAAUACAUGCAAGUCGAACGGUAAGACUCUCUUCGGAGAGUACACGAGUGGCGCACGGGUGAGUAACGCGUACACAAUCUACCCUUAAGCGGAGAAUACCCCUGGGAAACUGGGAAUAAUACUCCAUAAUAUUCAUGAAUGGCAUCUUUUGUGAAUUAAAGUUCCGGCGCUUAAGGAUGAGUGUGCGUCCCAUUAGCUAGUUGGUAGGGUAAAGGCCUACCAAGGCGACGAUGGGUAGGGGGCGUGAGAGCGUGAUCCCCCACACGGGUACUGAGACACGGACCCG